Molecule: ribosomal RNA, 462 nt
Filed under: uncultured bacterium
Lineage: Bacteria
Description: partial 16S ribosomal RNA
Rfam family: Bacterial small subunit ribosomal RNA
Source: RNAcentral
GACGAACGCUGGCGGCGUGCUUAACACAUGCAAGUCGAGCGGAAAGGCCCUUCGGGUUACUCAAGCGGAGAAGGGGUGAGUAACACGUGAGUAACCUGCCCCAGACUUUGGGAUAACACGCGGAAACGGGGGCUCAUACCCGAAACGACACAGCUGCGCAUGGGGUCUGUGUGGAAAGUUUUUUGGUGUGUGAGGGGCUCGCGGCCGAGCAGCCUGGUGGUGGGGUGAUGGCCCACCAAGGCGACGGCGGGUAGCCGGCCUGAGAGGGCGGACGGCCACAUUGGGACUGAGACACGGCCCAGACUCCUUCGGGAGGCAGCGGUGGGGAAUAUUGCACAAUGGGCGGAAGCCUGAUGCAGCGACCCCGCGUGCGGGAUGACGGCCUUCGGGUUGUAAACCUCUUUCAGCAGGGAAGAAGCGUAAGUGACGGUACCUGAAGAAGAAGCGCCGGCCAACUACGUG